This 364-nucleotide unclassified non-coding RNA is filed under the name uncultured fungus. Its description in RNAcentral is "sequence contains ITS1". The stretch from base 1 to 105 matches the Rfam family "5.8S ribosomal RNA", at positions 50 to 154 of the family's 154-position model. Lineage: Eukaryota; Fungi. The record is from RNAcentral.
GAAACGCGAUAGGUAUUGUGAAUUGCAGAAUUUCGUGAAUCAUCGAAUCUUUGAACGCAUAUUGCGCCUUCCGGUAUUCCGGGAGGCAUGCCUGUUUGAGCGUCAGUUUACACUCACAAGUGUUUACUUGUCAAAAAGUCAAGCAUUCUGUGGUUUUGAGUGAUGAGGAGAUGCCUUGAUUGGAACUGCUCUCAUUUGGAAUGAAUCGGCCCAAUUGUCUGGCUUUCUUUGAAUAGUGUGAUAGGUAAACCCCAACUCGCUUGAUAAGACAUGCUACUUUGACAAUAAUGCCAAUUUGUCUCUUUCUAAGAGAAAUAUUGAUCAUUUUGACCUCAAAUCAGGUAGGGAUACCCGCUGAACUUAA